RNAcentral lists this long non-coding RNA (868 nucleotides) under Mus musculus (house mouse). RNAcentral's name for it is "predicted gene, 35194, transcript variant 2 (Gm35194)". Lineage: Eukaryota; Metazoa; Chordata; Mammalia; Rodentia; Muridae. The record is from RNAcentral.
AAGAUUCUUGAGUUCCAAGGUCUAAAGGAGAUGGGAGCAGGGGCUGGGGACUUGGUAUGAGGCACAGAAGUGCACAUCUAUGAGAACUCCUGUGAUUAUGACUUUCAACACCCAGGCCUGGGCCUCUGGGACCAUGGUGGAGAGCAGGCUGUCCCACAAAGCAGGUUCCUAUGCACUUCAUGAGGGACCCUUGAGGAAUCUUAAACUGCCAGGCCAGAGGCAGCAAUGUUUGCUGCUGAUUUGACGUGGGUGUGAGCAGAGGAUAGAAAAGGUGGUUUCAAGGCUUUUCACCUAAACAACUGGAAAGUGGCCAUGGAAAAGACAACUAGAGUUCCUCAGAUCUUCCAGAUAUUCCCCUACAUUAUCAAGACUCUCUUGCAGAAUGAGCAGAAUUCCAGAUGUUCCCCUACAUCACCAAGACUCUCUUGCAGAAUGAGCAGAAUCUGCACUGUGUCACUUCUGGAUGGAGGUAGCUAGAAAUCAGUGUGCUCUCUCCUACGCCCUUUCUCCCACUGCACCCCACUGGAAUACCAAGCAUUCCAAAUGGCACAGUGAGAAGCUUCAAAAGGGACUGGCCCAUAUUAGACUGUGAUGUGAAUGAAAAAUAUGUAUUUAUUGUAAUCAGUCACUGGUAUUUUAGACAUUUGUAUUACUAUUUAAUUACACACCUAUACUACUUAAGCCAACAUUCUUAAAAUAGACUAAAUCUAAAAUAUAAAAAUUAUAUAUAUAUGCAAAUGUGUCUCUAUAAGCUGUCUCAAUUAUUCUUCGAAUGUCUUUGUGACUGUUUAUACAUGUGAAGAUCCCAUGGGUGUAUGAGUGAAUUCCAUGAAGAGUGAGAACAUUAAAUAUUAAAUACAACUCUUUA